AAGGUUCAAGUCAUCUGGAAGGUCCAAGGCCUCAGGUUCCGGCAGCUUCUCCUGAUUGCCAUGCAAUGACGAAGCUCUUAGGCCCUCGUAACUUCUGCCUGUUGGGCUGAUCCCUUGGAAGUAUCCAGCUGAAACAGUGCCAUCCGUGGACCUGGAGAGAACAGUCAUGGGCCACCAGGUAGCAGCAGCAAUCACAGGUCAUCUGUUUGCCUAAGUCCAGAGCCCACUCCACCCCAAACCCAAGACUGUGUGUUGAACAAGUCAAACAAGCCUAUAAGAACCAGGCAUUUGUCCCAAAGCAAUGCAAGAGUGCUGUUGCUAGAAUCAACAGUUCACUUGAUACCUAACCCGGCCUAGAAACCAUCACAGCGGCUGCAUCCUUUAUUUCAGAUUGGUGCCAUAACCACUCCAAUAUAAAACACGGAGGCCCCAGGUACCUGGACAGACAACACGGUGCACUUUGACGGCAGGCAAGGCCAGGGGAGCACAGACAGACCUCUGUGACGAUCCUCCUGCAGGGCCUCUGACAGGGGCCCACCCCAGCCCCUCAGCAUGGCUGAGUCAGCAAUGGAGCCAGUGCACAAAACACAAACCUUCCAACCCAGUGAAGACUACUUGGCAGCUGCAGUGCUCCCCUCUAUUCCCUUAGCCCUGGCUUAACUGUUAAACAGACAAAAGAAUAGAACUGGAGGAAAAGAAUAUGUUCAUUUCGUUCUCCCCAAAAUUGAUUACGAUAGCU
Tupaia belangeri chinensis (Chinese tree shrew) is the source of this 739-nucleotide long non-coding RNA. RefSeq lists it as uncharacterized. The transcript has 3 exons. Lineage: Eukaryota; Metazoa; Chordata; Mammalia; Scandentia; Tupaiidae. The record is from RefSeq and is a predicted model, not a curated record.